GAUGAACGCUGGCGGCGUGCCUAAUACAUGCAAGUCGAGCGAACGGACGAGAAGCUUGCUUCUCUGAUGUUAGCGGCGGACGGGUGAGUAACACGUGGAUAACCUACCUAUAAGACUGGGAUAACUUCGGGAAACCGGAGCUAAUACCGGAUAAUAUUUUGAACCGCAUGGUUCAAAAGUGAAAGACGGUCUUGCUGUCACUUAUAGAUGGAUCCGCGCUGCAUUAGCUAGUUGGUAAGGUAACGGCUUACCAAGGCAACGAUGCAUAGCCGACCUGAGAGGGUGGUCGGCCAGGAGGGAACUGAGCCCCGGUCCAGACUCCUACGGGAGGCAGCAGUAGGGAAUGUUCCGCAAUGGGCGAAAGCCUGACGGAGCAACUCCGCGUGGGUGAUGAAGGUCUUCGGAUCGUAAAACUAUGUUAUCAGGAAAGAACAAAUGUGUAAGUAACUGUGCACAUCUUGACGGUACCUUAUCAGAAAGCCACGGCUAACUACGUG
RNAcentral lists this ribosomal RNA (497 nucleotides) under uncultured bacterium. Its description in RNAcentral is "partial 16S ribosomal RNA". It matches the Rfam family "Bacterial small subunit ribosomal RNA", at positions 28 to 507 of the family's 1533-position model. The record is from RNAcentral.